RNAcentral lists this ribosomal RNA (254 nucleotides) under uncultured bacterium. RNAcentral's name for it is "partial 16S ribosomal RNA". It matches the Rfam family "Bacterial small subunit ribosomal RNA", at positions 524 to 776 of the family's 1533-position model. The record is from RNAcentral.
UACGGGGGGAGCAAGCGUUGUUCGGAUUUACUGGGCGUAAAGGGCGCGUAGGCGGCCACCGCAAGUCGGUUGUGAAAUCUCUGGGCUUAACCCAGAAAGGUCAACCGAUACUGCGGGGCUAGAGUGCAGAAGGGGCAACUGGAAUUCUCGGUGUAGCGGUGAAAUGCGUAGAUAUCGAGAGGAACACCUGCGGCGAAGGCGGGUUGCUGGGCUGACACUGACGCUGAAACGCGAAAGCUAGGGGAGCGAACGGG